GCCAAGAGCGACCCUUUCACGUCUCCAACUCCUCAUACAUAUAGAGAACAUAUGAACAGCUGCUAUUAGGGUUAGAGAACCUUUAAUUUCGUCCAUGGGCUCGCCGUUGUGGUCUGGGCCUUGAAAUUGAAGUUCCGGUCCAAAUCAGAAAUUCGGGCAGACUGACCUUUGGUCAUUCAAACGGUCAUAACUUGGUCACCAAAAUAGCUAUUGACGAUCUGCGAAAAGUUCUUAAAACUAGACUCUUCUAGCUUUCUGCUGAUAUAAAGUUCAUCUCCUGGAUCGUUGUGAGCUGAUCACAAUUCUCUGUCGAAGUUGACUGACUAUUCCUGGCAGAUUUUAGAUUUCUUUCCUUGCGCCAUAUGGAUUCCUUUUCCUUCAAGAUUUCUCCUCUUUUGCCUCUUUUGUGCUCCUCGGCUUUAUUUGUGACCUAAAAACACAAACUAAGUUAAAAUCAAUAUUGUUAAAGGAAUUACAUAACUAAAUAGGGUCGAAAAUACAUUAAGAACGUUGCAUAGAAUGCACCUAUCAAAUUUGGGCUUCAAUUUGGGAAUUAGGGAUGGAUCUCUAGUUUCUUCUAUUUGAAUAUGGAAUUGGAUUUUAAGAGAGUUGUUAUUCUACAAUUCAAAUGUUCUGUUCUUGUUUGAUUACUUUUUCGAGUUUUUGGAAAGUGUUUAUGCUUAAGCUUUAAUCUUCCACUACUACAAAAACGUUAUCAGACAACACUCAUCAGACAACCUUUUAGGGUUCCCUACUUGUCUGAUGAAGUGAACUGUUAUAUACAACGCAAAGUUACAAAGUUUUGUUGUCUGAUGAUACGAAAUUGUCAGGUUAUAUUUCAAGAGUUCAAAACACAACAAUGAUGCUAAUUUUCUCUUCUAUGAUUUAUGAAAAUUUUGGCGGAAGGAUUCCCCCCAUCACCAAAUUGAAAGUCGUGCAAGAUGCAAAAUGUUUGGACAAUAGACUUUUAUUUCUUUGUUGUAUGAUGUUGUUACAAUUGCAAGUUUAGAAAAUAUAUACAACAGUUUAAAACAUUCUGUUGUGUGACUGGAAAAUCUGGCGGCAUGCCAAAGUCGUUUUGGCUCUAAAAUUUCGGCCAUCAGACCAUGUUUAUAGUUGUUACAUUGUGUGAUUAUCUAUCGAAAUGAAUGCCAACUUUUGGCGUGUGUCCGAAACAUCAAUGUGCCAACCCUUUCCCUCCUAUAUUUCAGCCCAAAUUAAAUUCUCCCCCCAACAUUUAAAAAAAAGCAUAACUACGACUCAACCAAAACCUAUAGCUCAACCAAAUUAUCCCUCUCUCGACAUCACACUCUCUCAACCAUUCAAGCCACACAUAACAUUCUUGUUCAUUCCCUCGUGCCUCUGAGCUCUCUCUAUAUCCCAAAAACACCUAGCUAGCUCUCUCUCUAAACACCCAGCCUCUCUCUCCCAGCAAACUCUCGAGCCCUCAGCUAUCUCUCCCUAACACCCGCGUGAGCCCCCACUUCUCUCUCACUCAGCCCUCGACCAUAACAUUCUCAGCCAUCUCCCCCAAUUUCAAAAACCNNNNNNN
Molecule: long non-coding RNA, 1552 nt
Filed under: Fragaria vesca (wild strawberry)
Lineage: Eukaryota; Viridiplantae; Streptophyta; Magnoliopsida; Rosales; Rosaceae
Description: long non-coding RNA (FVES_LNC005422)
Source: RNAcentral